This 729-nucleotide ribosomal RNA is filed under the name Lepidodinium viride. Its description in RNAcentral is "LSU rRNA". It matches the Rfam family "Eukaryotic large subunit ribosomal RNA", at positions 49 to 663 of the family's 3401-position model. The record is from RNAcentral. Lineage: Eukaryota; Dinophyceae; Gymnodiniales; Gymnodiniaceae.
AGCGGAGGACAAGAAACUAAAUAGGAUUCCCUUAGUAAUGGCGAAUGAACAGGGAUAAGCUCAACUUGAUAAUUGUGGCUUCUGGCUUUGAAUUGUAAUCUCAAGAUGUAGUGCCAAGGAGGGCGUAGGUGUAAGCCUCUUGGAAAAGAGAAUCAUUGAGGGUGAGAAUCCUGUUUGUCACCUGCAGUCCCUCCUGUACGGCCUACCUUCUAAGAGUCACGUUCCUCGGGAUUGGAGCGCAAACUGGGUGGUAAAUUUCAUCUCAAGCUAAAUAUGGGUUCGAAACCGAUAGCAAACAAGUACCAUGAGGGAAAGAUGAAAAGGACUUUGAAAAGAGAGUUAAAAGUGCCUGAACUUGCUGAAAGGAAANCGGAUGGAACCAGUGUUGCUCGGUGAGAUUGUUGCGCGCUAUGGUGAUGGCCUGCUGCAUCAGCGCAAGCGUUGCUGUGGGUUUUGAUCUUGAUGCGCGUGAUGCUUCUUGCCUUGUGUGUCAUCGUCGGUUCNAUGGUGAGGACAACCCUUGGGACAUGGUANCUCGCCUCUGGGUGUGUGAACGUGCCUUGUGGAACUCACCUUCNAACUGCAAACCGAAUGUGCGGUUGCGCUGCCCUCGCUCUGCGUCACUGCCCCUCGCCCUCNUGCGUGCUGGGUGGUGUCGCGCCGCGCGGGGCACCUUCUGCACACAGCUAUGGUGACUAAAUGGUUCNAUUCGACCCGUCUUGAAACACG